GGGGGGGGGGGGGGGGGGGGGUGGCGCGGGCGGGGCGGGGGGGGCCUGCGGGUCUAGUGGCGCGCGGGUGCGUAACGCGUGGGAGCCGGCCUUUAGGUUCGGGAUAACUCAGAGAAAUUUGAGCUAAUACCGGAUGAUGUCUUCGGACCAAAGAUUUAUCGCCUUUAGAUGGGUCCGCGUUGGAUUAGCUAGUUGGUGGGGUAAAGGCCUACCAAGGCGACGAUCCAUAGCUGGUCUGAGAGGAUGAUCAGCCACACUGGGACUGAGACACGGCCCAGACUCCUACGGGAGGCAGCAGUGGGGAAUAUUGGACAAUGGGCGAAAGCCUGAUCCAGCAAUGCCGCGUGAGUGAUGAAGGCCUUAGGGUUGUAAAGCUCUUUUACCCGAGAUGAUAAUGACAGUAGCGGGAGAAUAAGCUCCGGCUAACUCCGUG
This 433-nucleotide ribosomal RNA is filed under the name uncultured bacterium. Its description in RNAcentral is "partial 16S ribosomal RNA". It matches the Rfam family "Bacterial small subunit ribosomal RNA", at positions 27 to 507 of the family's 1533-position model. The record is from RNAcentral.